UAACAGAUCUCAGUCUCUUUACCCUGACACAGAUGCCCUGCUAUGGUAGAGGCUUAGCAAAACUGGAAAUCUGCAAGGAUCUGUAAGAGUUCUGCAAUUUGAGGCUAAAUGACGCAUUUUUCAUUGACUUCUUGCUAUUCCAGGAUGAAUAAGAGAUACUUACAGAAAGCAACAAAAGGAAAACUGCUAAUAAUAAUAUUUGUUGUAACGCUGUGGGGGAAAUUAGCAUCUGGGGCAAAUCAUCAUAAAGCUCACCAUGUUAAAACUGGGACCUGUGAAGUGGUGGCACUUCACAGAUGCUGCAAUAAGAAUAAGAUAGAAGAAAGAUCACAGACAGUGAAGUGUUCCUGCUUCCCUGGGCAGGUAGCAGGUACCACCCGGGCAGCUCCUUCUUGUGUUGAUGCUUCGAUAGUGGAGCAGAAAUGGUGGUGCCACAUGCAACCAUGUCUUGAAGGGGAGGAAUGUAAAGUUCUUCCAGAUCGUAAGGGAUGGAGCUGUUCCUCUGGGAAUAAAGUGAAAACAACUAGGCUAUGGCAGUAUUCCUGGAGACAAAUGUGAAUGCACUUCCUCAAAAUGCCAGCAGUGGAAGCUGGUAAGCAAGUGGGGAAAAAUCACCAGAGAAAUCUCUGAAGCUUGGGACAAAGGCAGAAAACACAUCAGUACUACACUAACAGAACAGCAGGUACUCUUAUAGAGAAGAUAAAAUUACAGGUAAGGAAAUAAUUUACAUUUCUAUUUUGAACUUGUCCAAAUGGCUUGUUACUCUCCAUUCAAAAUACCAGGAAAAACCCUGCAGCGUAAAAUUUGAAGAUGAAAAAGAUCUCAAAUUUGAUUAACUUGGACUACCUGAUUUUUUAGUGGGGAUAAUUGGAAGUUCUGACCUAAUUUCUAGAAAAAUAUAUUAAAAUAUGAAAAUUCUUCAUGCCUAUUAGACAGUUUAGAACCUCAGUCUAGUUUUAAAACAAGGCUGGAUUUGAGUUUUUUAAAUUCGUUUUGCUUUUUUGUAUCUAGAAUGUAAACACAGGAAAAUGAUUGUUAUAGGUUUUCCUUUCCAAUCAGAAGCCUUUUCCAUAGGUAAGUGAAGUCAGAUAAAGCCAAAGACAGAAGGACUCUGUUCCCAUCUCUCCAUUAACACUUACUUCCUGACAGGAUAACAUGACUCUUUUUUAUGCUUCAGCUUCCUCAUAUGUUGAAAGGAAAUAGGUUAUUUUUAUCUCCCAGUUGGGAUGAUUAGGCAGGAUAAGUGGUGUAGAAGAGAAAAAAAUUACAUUUUUGUAAUUAAUUGUCUUGCAGUCUUUUAUGCCGCCAUGCUGCUGUCCCACUAUGGAGUUAUGAGCACCAUAAAAACCUCAAGAGGAUAUAUCCUUGUCUGAAUUGCUGCAGUUAUUAUCUGUUACAGAAAGUAAAAUAAGGUUUUUGUUUAAGUCUUCUUUUAAUUUAAAAUUGUUGUCUGUAAAUGAAACAUUGUGUUACAUUAAAUAAUUCUACCAUAAACUCUGUUCUACUGAGUUACAGAAACAUUUAAGAAAAUUAGGGUAUGUUCAAUACAGUGGCAUAAUCUUUUGGAAGACAGUAAUAAUGAGUACAUAGGAAGGACUAAUGAAUUGGAUUUAGCCUUGACGUAACUCAUAAAUCUUCAUCAACGAUUCUCCAUCAUAAUUGUCCCAGUGAGUUGUACCAAUUAAUUGUAUUUUGUAAACUAUCCAGUUCAAGGAAGUCUGAACACAGGACAAUAUUAAUUGAUUUCAUAGUAUUCAAAUAUGUAGAGAUUUUAUUUAAGAAAGAAAGUUUUGAAAUUUUGAGUUUAAUCUUGUAUAUUUUCAAUGAUCUGCAGCAUGAUAUUUAAGAGAAAAGGGUUAAGAAAAUAUAAGAAAAAAACUUCAAGAAAUUUGAACAUCUUGAGAUCCUGAACAAUUUGAGAUCUUGAGAUGUUGUGUGUCACAUCAGAAGCAAUUAUUAUUGGCAGGUUCAAAAUCUAUCUCAAAUAUCUAUAUAAAGAACUAUCUGUCUGAAUUGAAUAUUGUCUUUUGAAAUGUGUCCUCUGUUAUUUUAGAGUGUUUCCUGUAACCUUCUAAUUUUUUUUUUUUACUUUAAACAUAUAUGAGGAGAACACACUCAAGUCUUUCAUUUUGAAGGAAUUGUCUUCUGACUUCAUGACUCCGUUCUGUGCCACAGGUCUAUGCAAACGUGUAAAACUCCUCAAGUCCGAAUGGAGAAGUAGAGAAAGGAGGUUUCUGCUGUGCCUGAUGACAAUUUUUGUUUUUUCCACACACAAAAAAUAUUCUGGCUCCACGUUGGGGCACUAGUUGUGAUGAAUCCUAGUCUUGGUCGGAUUCUAAGGAAGGGCCAGAACGUUCGUUGAGGAAUAAAGACUCAAACCACUCCAGAAAAUGUGUUCCAGCCCCGGUUUAUUACUCACAGAACAGCAGGUAACCCGAUAGCUAAAGACAAAUCAAGCCAGUCUCAAGGCUGAUAACAUUAAAUACAACACAUAGGAAUUUCAUUCAUCCAGGCAAUCCUUGAAGUGAAAUUUUAUACUGCUGGGGUGUAUCCUUCAGAAUCAACUGUUUCAAUGAGAGCCUGGCUUGCAAUCAGCAACAGCCUUGAGAUCAAAACUACUGGAAAGUUAUUUUGAACUUCUGUGUCACAAAUAUUUCAACUGAUUGAACUGUGUACACUUGUAGAAUUACACUUGCUGAGGAAUUUGCAGCUGUAAUCAUGAGCUAAUAUUCUAAAGGUGCAGAAAAGCAGCAAACUUUUGGGUUCUCUGCGGCAGAACAGUGGCUUUUCAUCUUGAAGUCAAACUCUGAAAUGUAUUGGAUCCUUCACUCUGAAAUGAUCCUUGGUCCACUGUUUAGAUUGCUGGUGGGACUGCACACUGCUUUAAUUAAAUUUCUGUUGCAGAAAUUGUCCUCAAGCAUGGCACAGUUUUAGACAUUUUUAUUUGUGUUCUAAUCUUGCAGCUCUCAAAGGUACAUAUUUCAACAUCUUGAAGUUGCUUUGUUAUAGGAAUGGAAUUAUAUAUCCAUUGUUAAUAAUUAUUGUUGACAAGUAAUAGUUAUCUGAAUACAUCAGUCAUAUUAGAAUGUAUAGUCAGGUUGACAUGUUUCCCUAAGGCUAACCAACUACUGCAGCUUAACAGUUAAAGAAAAUAGUGGUCAAAACUCAAUUACCACUUCCAUCAUAAGGCAUUUUAUAUCCUUAAUAUAUGCAUUUCGAUUUAGUUUGAAGGAAAUGGGUGUUCCCAAUAUGUACUUUACUUUCCUAACCUUUAAUUCAUUUAAAUUGAUGGUAAGAAGUCAAUUACAGUAUUUCAUCCCUUUUUUACAAAGAUAAGCAGGGAUGUAAAUGAGUUUUGCAGUUAUGAUAUUGGAUGGUAAUCAUUCAGAAUUUUUGUCUUUUUAUUAAAAAAUAAAAUCUCUUGCUUGAACCUAAAUACUGAUGGAUGCUUAUGUAGAUGUCUGCUCAGUCUGUUUGCCAUAAAGGAAAAAGUCCUAGUGCUCUCCCAGUUUUACACUUCAUGGGUAUUUUGCUUGCAUACAGUCAUCCAAUUCAGAUCUGUUUUGUUAGAAAUUAUUGAACUUUGAAAUGUGUUGUUACAUGAAAAAAAAUCCUCAAUAUUUGAAGGCCUUAAGCAUCUUUGAGCUUUUUUCUAAGUUAUUACAGAAUGUAUAAUUUUAUACUCCAUUUAAUGUAUAUUGGACCAUCUGUAAUGUUGAUACAAAAGAAAUUUGGCAAUUCCUUUUAGUGACACUGCAUAAACACAUUGACUAGAGGGAGUUCUGACUGUAUGCUUUGGUGGAUUGAAAUGAAAGCCACAUGCACUUAAUGGCAGUCAAAAAUACAUAGAAGUAAGCUUGUUUAAGUCUGUGGUUAUCAAACACAGCAAAAAAAAAAACAACCCAAAAAUAGAAAAAAAACCUUAAAUAGAAAGAAAAAAAAGGAAUAGAAAGAAAUGGUUUAAUCAUUACAAGCCAUUGACAUGGCUAGUUUAGUUAUAUAUUAAGUUCUGUGGAUGAACACCCUGGUGAGCUCUGCCUGUCGCUGUAGCCCCUGCUGUUCCAAAACCAUUUCAUUACCUCUGCUGUAUUAUUGCACAGGAGAGCUUAAAUAAAAUAAAUGACUGCUGGGAAUAAAACUGAGAAGUAUAUUCUAUCAUUUUGCUGGGAAAUAAUAAGAAAUAUGUUGACAGAAAAAUAUCUUAUUUUCUGAUUAAAAUUUAAUUAGAAUAAACCGUUUGUAGCAGAAACUAAGUCUCUUGGUAUUUUAGGAUGGAUUAGUAUUAUAUGGAUUUGUGCUAAGAGGUUCAGGAUGGAAGGAACAUCUUAAAGAGGUUGUCUGGGACAGUGCAAAGCGUAAGUGUGCUGUUUUGUAAAAUCUAAAUAUGACCUCUAUUUGGUCGAAAAUCCACAUCAUGCUUCUCAAUAUUUGUUUUCUUUGUUUCCUUGUUCUUAAACAGCGCUGAAAAUACUGUAUUAUAUACAAGUGUAACACAUGCAUACCAAUAAAUGAAAAUAAAUGGAUUUUCAAAUAUACUGAA
Molecule: RNA transcript, 4540 nt
Organism: Camarhynchus parvulus
Lineage: Eukaryota; Metazoa; Chordata; Aves; Passeriformes; Thraupidae
Gene: TAFA2
Gene name: TAFA chemokine like family member 2
Exons: 7
Source: RefSeq, a predicted model, not a curated record